GAAACCAACAGGGAUUGCCUCAGUAACGGCGAGUGAAGCGGCAACAGCUCAAAUUUGAAAUCUGGCCUCACGGUCCGAGUUGUAAUUUGUAGAGGAUGCUUUUGGCAAGGUACUUUCCGAGUUCCCUGGAACGGGACGCCAUAGAGGGUGAGAGCCCCGUACGGUCAGACACCGAGCCUCUGUAAAGCUCCUUCGACGAGUCGAGUAGUUUGGGAAUGCUGCUCUAAAUGGGAGGUGUACGUCUUCUAAAGCUAAAUACCGGCCAGAGACCGAUAGCGCACAAGUAGAGUGAUCGAAAGAUGAAAAGCACUUUGAAAAGAGGGUUAAAAAGUACGUGAAAUUGUUGAAAGGGAAGCAUUCAUGACCAGACUUGGGCUUGGUUGAACAUCCGGCGUUCUCGCCGGUGCACUCUGCCAGUCCAGGCCAGCAUCAGUUUGACCCGGGGGACAAAGGCGGCGGGAAUGUGGCUCCCCUCGGGGAGUGUUAUAGCCCGCCGUGUAAUGCCCUGGGUUGGACUGAGGAACGCGCUUCGGCACGGAUGCUGGCGUAAUGGUCAUCAAUGACCCGUCUUGAAACACGGACCAAGGAGUCGACCAUGUAUGCGAGUGUUCGGGUGUCAAACCCCUACGCGUAAUGAAAGUGAACGUAGGUGAGAGCCUCGGCGCAUCACCGACCGAUCCUGAUGUUCUCGGAUGGAUUUGAGUAAGAGCAUACGGGGCCGGACCCGAAAGAAGGUGAACUAUGCCUGUAUAGGGUGAAGCCAGAGGAAACUCUGGUGGAGGCUCGCAGCGGUUCUGACGUGCAAAUCGAUCGUCAAAUAUGGGCAUGGGGGCGAAAGACUAAUCGAACCUUCUAGUAGCU
This 861-nucleotide ribosomal RNA is filed under the name Hyponectria sp. HKUCC 5553. RNAcentral's name for it is "LSU rRNA". It matches the Rfam family "Eukaryotic large subunit ribosomal RNA", at positions 61 to 952 of the family's 3401-position model. The record is from RNAcentral. Lineage: Eukaryota; Fungi; Ascomycota; Sordariomycetes; Amphisphaeriales; Hyponectriaceae.